AGCGAACGCUGGCGGCAGGCCUAACACAUGCAAGUCGAACGAACCUUUCGGGGUUAGUGGCGGACGGGUGAGUAACACGUGGGAACGUGCCUUUAGGUUCGGAAUAACUCAGGGAAACUUGUGCUAAUACCGAAUGUGCCCUUCGGGGGAAAGAUUUAUCGCCUUUAGAGCGGCCCGCGUCUGAUUAGCUAGUUGGUUGAGGUAAUGGCUCACCAAGGCGACGAUCAGUAGCUGGUCUGAGAGGAUGAUCAGCCACAUUGGGACUGAGACACGGCCCAAACUCCUACGGGAGGCAGCAGUGGGGAAUCUUGCGCAAUGGGCGAAAGCCUGACGCAGCCAUGCCGCGUGAAUGAUGAAGGUCUUAGGAUUGUAAAAUUCUUUCACCGGGGACGAUAAUGACGGUACCCGGAGAAGAUGCCCCGGCUAACUUCGUG
This 434-nucleotide ribosomal RNA is filed under the name uncultured bacterium. RNAcentral describes it as "partial 16S ribosomal RNA". It matches the Rfam family "Bacterial small subunit ribosomal RNA", at positions 29 to 507 of the family's 1533-position model. The record is from RNAcentral.